RNAcentral lists this ribosomal RNA (480 nucleotides) under uncultured archaeon. Its description in RNAcentral is "bacterial SSU rRNA". It matches the Rfam family "Archaeal small subunit ribosomal RNA", at positions 347 to 824 of the family's 1478-position model. The record is from RNAcentral.
ACUUUACAAUGCCGGCAACGGCGAUAAGGGGACCUCGAGUGCCAGGUUACAAAUCUGGCUGUCGUGAUGCCUAAAAAGCAUUGCAUAGCAAGGGCCGGGCAAGACCGGUGCCAGCCGCCGCGGUAACACCGGCGGCUCGAGUGGUAACCGUUAUUAUUGGGUCUAAAGGGUCUGUAGCCGGCCGGAUAAGUCUCUUGAGAAAUCCAGCAGCUCAACUGUUGGGCUUUCAGGAGAUACUGUUCGGCUCGAGGCCGGGAGAGGUGAGAGGUACUUCAGGGGUAGGGGUGAAAUCUUGUAAUCCUUGAAGGACCACCAGUGGCGAAGGCGUCUCACCAGAACGGACCUGACGGCAAGGGACGAAAGCUAGGGGCACGAACCGGAUUAGAUACCCGGGUAGUCCUAGCCGUAAACGAUACUCGCUAGGUGUCGGCCACGGUGCGACCGUUUGUCGGUUGCCGUUAGGGAAGCCGUGAAGCGAGC